AGUGAACGCUGGCGGUAGGCCUAACACAUGCAAGUCGAACGGCAGCACAGUAAGAGCUUGCUCUUACGGGUGGCGAGUGGCGGACGGGUGAGGAAUACAUCGGAAUCUACUUUUUCGUGGGGGAUAACGUAGGGAAACUUACGCUAAUACCGCAUACGACCUACGGGUGAAAGCAGGGGAUCUUCGGACCUUGCGCGAUUGAAUGAGCCGAUGUCGGAUUAGCUAGUUGGCGGGGUAAAGGCCCACCAAGGCGACGAUCCGUAGCUGGUCUGAGAGGAUGGUUCCCCACACUGGCACUGAGACACAGUCCCGACUCCUACGGUGGGCCACGGUGGGGAAUAUUGCGCAAUGGGGGCAAGCCUGAUCCAGCCAUACCGCGUGGGUGAAGAAGGCCUUCGGGUUGUAAAGCCCUUUUGUUGGGAAAGAAAAGCAGCAGGUUAAUACCCCGCUGUUCUGACGGUACCCAAAGAAUAAGCACCGGCUAACUUCGUG
This 492-nucleotide ribosomal RNA is filed under the name uncultured bacterium. RNAcentral describes it as "partial 16S ribosomal RNA". It matches the Rfam family "Bacterial small subunit ribosomal RNA", at positions 29 to 507 of the family's 1533-position model. The record is from RNAcentral.